CUAUGUUAAGGUUCAAAUAUGUUUGCAAAUCACCCACAGAAAGACCAGGCUUUCUUUUACUUUCAGCAAUGUCAAUAAGUCUCUGCGCGUGGAUUUUCUCAAGGAUAGAUUCUUGUUUGCGAAUUUUAGUUGAAGAAACAGAAUUCGAAUUUUCACGCAUAGCCGCGUUAAAUGCGUUAUUUUUUGUAGGCAUAACAAUGCCAUUUUCUUCCCAGGUUCCAGCAGUGAGAUUCAAAAAAUUCUGAAUAUACUCUUUGCCAUACUCACUAAGGAUACUUUCAGGAUGGUAUUGAACACCCUCAAUAGCAUACUUUUUAUGGCGUGCACCCAUUAUUACACCAUUCUCGGUCCAGCUUGUAACGUCCAAACAAUCAGGAAGUGAUGAAAUUUUUCCAGCAAGAGAAUGAUAUCUUGUUACAGAAAUAUUUUGAGGUAUUCCUUGGUAAAAUCCGAGACCGUCGUGAUUUAUUUUAGAAACUUUUCCAUGUAUGAUUUCACCAGCGGAAUCAACUUUACCACCCAUUGUCUCAAAAAUACACUGAAGUCCCAUACACACACCAAGUAUAGGAAUCUUUCCAGCAAAUCUCGAAAUAGCCUCGUUACAAAUACCACCAUCACGCGCAGGAUGUCCAGGCCCAGGUGAGAGAACUAGUUUUAAAGGAUUAAGUUUUUCUAAUUCAUCGACAGUGAUUUCAUCAUUGCGAAAAACCAUAAUAGGAUAUCGUUUUUCCAGAUUAGAAAGAUAUUGAACAACGUUCCAGGUGAAACUGUCAUAAUUAUCUAUCAUAACAAUUGGUCUUUCAGCAACUUCUUUAACUGCAUUUUCUGAGGCGUCUCCUUUGACGCUUUCACCAACGUCAACUUUUUCAGACAUUUUCAGCUUGUUAUAAUUGAGACGUGCUAACGUUAAUUUUCCAAAAACUCAAAACCAAAAAUGCUGAAUGAAAAAGUAGCCGAUGAUGGCAAAUGACAAUUUCGACUUUUGAAUGAUCGGGAAAGAUAGUAUAGAAGCGAUGUUUCUUGCUAAUGUAUUUUGCGAACUGCAACGAAAAAUAUAUUUGGUUUUAAGACAUUGCAACUAAGAAAUCAUCGCAUAAUGAACGUUAGCAAAUAACGAUAACAAUCGUUGUACUAUUGUACUAGAAUUAGCAGGUAAAGAAGAAGUUUGACGAGGAGAAAACGAAAUUUUUUUUAUACUGGGGUUAGGGAAUAACGAAAUCAUAAAAAUAAUCUUUAAUUAGGCAUAAAAAAAUAAUUAAAAAAUUGGUGUUUCAAUUGUCGGUUCAUUUAAAACUGUUAAUAUAAUAAAGUUGUAAACCAAAUGACUAAACAGUGAUUUUAAAAGUAUCCUAUAGCUGUUGUUUACUCUGGUAAUUCGACACGUAAAAUACAUGAUUUCUCGACUUCAACAAUUCUUGGGAAUUUUUAGAAAUUUACAGUUAGUGCUAGAUAUU
Schizosaccharomyces pombe (fission yeast) is the source of this 1454-nucleotide non-coding RNA. The record is from the annotation of a GenBank genome assembly. Lineage: Eukaryota; Fungi; Ascomycota; Schizosaccharomycetes; Schizosaccharomycetales; Schizosaccharomycetaceae.